CAGUCUGCAACUCGACUGCGUGAAGCUGGAAUCGCUAGUAAUCGGAUAUCAGCCAUGAUCCGGUGAAUACGUUCCCGGGCCUUGUACACACCGCCCGUCAAACCAUGGAAGCUGGGGGUGCCUGAAGUCUGUGACCGCAAGGAGCAGCCUAGGGUAAAACUAGUGACUGGGGUUAAGUCGUAACAAGGUAGCCGUACCGGAAGGUGCGGCUGGAACACCUCCUUUCUAGAGUUUUAUUAGUUUUAUUCUAAUCAAAACAGAAAGCAACGACUAAAUUUGACUAAUUAUAAUUAGUUUCUGUUCACAUGCUGUCAUUUUUUAUAACACUAGCAAGAUUAGAUAAAUUAGAGUCUCGUAGCUCAGCUGGUUAGAGCGCUACACUGAUAAUGUAGAGGUCGGCAGUUCGAGCCUGCCCGAGACUACACAUUAGAAACCAUUUGUUACUUAACUUUUUAUUUAAUUCAAUUGCUAUGGAAAUUCUAGGUGUUGGGAUUCCAAAAUGAAAGGGUCUCAUUUAUUGGGUCUCUUAUUACUUACGGGGGAUUAGCUCAGCUGGCUAGAGCGCUUGAUUUGCAUUCAAGAGGUCAUCGGUUCGACUCCGAUAUUCUCCACAAUUCUAUAGAAUAAUUCAAAGAAAGAAAAGAGAUCGUUAUCCAAACACUUAUCUCUUUACUUGUUUUGUUCUAUUCGUUUGACUAGAAAAACGUUCACUGACAUUUUGAAAAGAUACAAAAAGUAUCAACCAAUUUUUUUACAAUAAAAAAAGAGGUUUAUACGAGCAAAUAUUAAAUAUUGAAAUUUUUUUAGAUACAAUUUUUUAGAGAAAGAGUAAAAGUUACAAUAGGCUAAUUAAGAGCAUAUGGGGAAUGCCUAGGCUCUCAGAGGCGAUGAAGGACGUGAUAAGCUGCGAUAAGCUGCGGGGAUCAGC
Molecule: unclassified non-coding RNA, 928 nt
Filed under: uncultured bacterium
Lineage: Bacteria
Description: partial contains 16S ribosomal RNA, 16S-23S ribosomal RNA intergenic spacer
Rfam family: Bacterial small subunit ribosomal RNA (bases 1-225)
Source: RNAcentral